This 152-nucleotide ribosomal RNA is filed under the name uncultured bacterium. RNAcentral describes it as "partial 16S ribosomal RNA". It matches the Rfam family "Bacterial small subunit ribosomal RNA", at positions 355 to 507 of the family's 1533-position model. The record is from RNAcentral.
UGGGGAAUAUUGGACAAUGGGCGGAAGCCUGAUCCAGCAACGCCGCGUGAGGGAUGACGGCCUUCGGGUUGUAAACCUCUUUCAGCAUUGACGAAGCCGCAUCUUUGGGUGUGGUGACGGUAUGUGCAGAAGAAGCACCGGCCAACUACGAG